Erigeron canadensis is the source of this 182-nucleotide long non-coding RNA. RefSeq lists it as uncharacterized. The record is from RefSeq and is a predicted model, not a curated record. Lineage: Eukaryota; Viridiplantae; Streptophyta; Magnoliopsida; Asterales; Asteraceae. The transcript is spliced from 2 exons.
AGGUAACAGAAAAAAACUAGUGAAUGUAAGCAGAGGGGGUUCUCGUUCAAUAGCCAAUCUUGUGCACCAAAUGUCAACUCCCGAGACGCCGCCUAGCCCUUUAGAGAUUUAUCACAGCUUGCAUUAUAAAGCCGAUGAGAAAGAUAAAAAAUGGCUAAAUGAUGAUGCACGUAUUGAAUAUG